UACGUAGGUGGCGAGCGUUGUCCGGAAUUACUGGGUGUAAAGGGCGUGUAGGCGGGGAUGUAAGUCAGAUGUGAAAUCCCAUGGCUCAACUGUGGGGCUGCAUCUGAAACUAUGUCUCUUGAGUGCCGGAGAGGGAAGCGGAAUUCCUAGUGUAGCGGUGAAAUGCGUAGAUAUUAGGAGGAACACCAGUGGCGAAGGCGGCUUUCUGGACGGUAACUGACGCUGAGGCGCGAAAGCGUGGGGAGCAAACAGGAUUAGAUACCCUGGUAGUCCACGCCGUAAACGAUGGAUACUAGGUGUAGGAGGUAUCGACCCCUUCUGUGCCGGAGUUAACACAAUAAGUAUCCCACCUGGGGAGUACGGCCGCAAGGUUGAA
RNAcentral lists this ribosomal RNA (376 nucleotides) under uncultured bacterium. RNAcentral's name for it is "bacterial SSU rRNA". It matches the Rfam family "Bacterial small subunit ribosomal RNA", at positions 524 to 898 of the family's 1533-position model. The record is from RNAcentral.